AUUGAACGCUAGCGGCAUGCCUUACACAUGCAAGUCGAACGGCAGCACGGGAGCAAUCCUGGUGGCGAGUGGCGAACGGGUGAGUAAUGCAUCGGAACGUGCCCUGGAGUGGGGGAUAGCUCGGCGAAAGCCGGAUUAAUACCGCAUACGACCUACGGGUGAAAGCGGGGGACCGAAAGGCCUCGCGCUCCAGGAUCGGCCGAUGUCAGAUUAGGUAGUUGGUGGGGUAAAGGCCUACCAAGCCUGCGAUCUGUAGCUGGUCUGAGAGGACGACCAGCCACACUGGGACUGAGACACGGCCCAGACUCCUACGGGAGGCAGCAGUGGGGAAUUUUGGACAAUGGGGGAAACCCUGAUCCAGCAAUGCCGCGUGCGGGAAGAAGGCCUUCGGGUUGUAAACCGCUUUGUUGGGAGCGAAACGGCGAUGGCUAAUACCCGUUGCUAAUGACGGUACCCAAAGAAUAAGCACCGGCUAACUACGUG
RNAcentral lists this ribosomal RNA (483 nucleotides) under uncultured bacterium. Its description in RNAcentral is "bacterial SSU rRNA". It matches the Rfam family "Bacterial small subunit ribosomal RNA", at positions 29 to 507 of the family's 1533-position model. The record is from RNAcentral.